RNAcentral lists this ribosomal RNA (351 nucleotides) under Cochlicella acuta. Its description in RNAcentral is "partial large subunit ribosomal RNA". It matches the Rfam family "Bacterial large subunit ribosomal RNA", at positions 1947 to 2587 of the family's 2925-position model. The record is from RNAcentral. Lineage: Eukaryota; Metazoa; Mollusca; Gastropoda; Stylommatophora; Geomitridae.
UGUGCAAAGGUAGCAUAAUCAAUUGGCUUGUAAUUUAAGUCUGGUAUGAAUGUAGUUUUAGGUUAAAGCUGUCUCUUUAUGUUAAUUGAAAUUUACUUGGCCGGUGAAAAAACCGGCAGUUAAAUAAUAGACGAGAAGACCCUAGAAAUUUUAUGAAAGGUAUAGUAAUUAUAUAUUGGAUUUUGUUGGGGCGACAGAGUAACAGUUAACUUACUCUAUUUGAUGUGAAUUAAUUAUGAAAAUGUAAAUUACUCUAGGGAUAACAGCAUAAUUCUAUUAGUGUUUGUGACCUCGAUGUUGGACUAGGAAAGAUAAUAUUCAGAAGAUAUUAUUAUAGGCUCUGUUCGCGCC